UUAGACAGAAACGUUUAUUUUUACAUUAACAUUUACUAGUUAGACAAUGGUGUGGUAUUUUUCGACUAAAAACUUAUCGUUACGGUUCAUAAAAAUAUUGUGCCUACCUUGUUUUAUUUAUAACUCACCUAACAAUAAUCGGUUUUUUCCUAUUAGCAAAAAACCAUAUCUCUAGAAGGGAAUGCCUUCCAUAGUUUAUUGCCAAAUUAAAUAUUUUAAGUCAUAUGGAAAUGGUACAAUUAAAUAGACUUAUUCGGUUCUCUUGUUAAAUUUAUUAUUUAUAAUUUUACAUACGCUGUUGCUACAAACAAAACAAAUAAUUUAUUCAAAUUUUUGUCAGUGCUAGACAUAUUAAUUUUCACGAUAAUAUAGACUUUGAUUUAGAAGGCAAUUGACACUCGAGAUACUAGACUUCGUUUUUCGUCCUGACUUUUAUUUUAAGUCAAUAUGUAGUUCUUUUUGUGGCUUUACACAUGACUAAAUAUACGGUGUCUAUGCUCUAUAAUAGCUUUUACAUUUCAGUGAAUUUCAACCAUAGUGUAAGCGUAAUUCCUUUAAAUUCAUUGAAAUUAAUUUAAAUUGUUUCUGUUAAAAUUUGUUAUGAUAAUAAUUAAGGAAUUCGAAAACAGUAUAACAUGUUAUCCGAUACAAUACUCAUGGCUAUAUAUGAAAUGUAGGCGAAGUUUAGAAUCUAUAAAAUUAAUUAAAUGGAUGCUUAAUUUUUUCGUAAACUAAUGUGUACAAACUUAUCAUUAUUUUACUUUACAUUUUUUUGUAUAGAUAAUUGCGACCUUAGCUUGAUCAAAAAUAAUUACUUAGAAAUAAUUGGACGGUUUCAGUCUAGAAAAAUUCACCAAAAUUACUAUGUACACUUGUACAUUUGUUUGUUUUUCAUCAUACAAAAACGUUUUCGUUUCAAAAAGACCAAAACUGAUACUAGGUUAAUAUAAAGUUUAAAUAAAUUUCUUUAUGAAUUAUUUGCACACCCAUAUUUCAUGUCAAUAGUUUUUGUUUGAUUUAACCCAUUAGAUAUUUAGUAUUUCGUUACAAUUUUAAUCCAUUUAAUAUUACUGGAGUGUACUAUAAAAUUCGUAGAAAAUAUUUUGUCGCUAAAAUUAUUUAAUUACCGUAUGCGCCGUAUAGAAACAUAAAAAUAUUCAAAGAAUUUAAAAGUUUUAAUGCAUAGUAGUACUUAUUACAGUCAUUCAUGCUUCCAGUUUGAACAAGAUGAUCUUCAUUUUUCAAUAACUUUUCUUUUAUUUUUCAAUAAGAAACAAAAAGCAGUUUGAGACUUCAAAAUAGAAUAAAAAUUCUCGUCGACUAUUGAAGACGUUAACUGGAUGGACGCCUCACCCAAGACUUGAAAGUUGAGGGCGACUACCACAGAAUAGGCCCUAAUCAGUGCCUGAAAUUUUUCGCGCAAUAUGUGAGGCCGAAUUGUGUUCACGAGUCCCUCAGGUAACGAUGAGAUCGUUGUUUUAUUCAUUGUUAUUCCCCUGGAAAUGCGUUUUGAUGUCGAAAUAUCACCUUUGAAAAAACACGUUAUACUUGACCAUUAGAGGAAGAUACCGAAUUCGUUAGUAAAAACUGUGGUCGGUGGUUGGGUGGGUGGGUUGGUAGUGUAUCAUAAAGAAAAAUUUUUUUUCAAUUUUGUUAACACGUAUUCUUUAAAUGGUUUCAGGAUGCUUAGUAUUUCUACGAUAGUGUACCAGCAGAUAUCGUAUUUUGCAUAAUUUCCUACCUACUACUUUUUGUAUCCAGGUUAAAAAUUCAUCUAGUAAGGAUUUUGCUUCUUUUCAUUUUGAUUAAGAAAUAUCAAAUCGAUUCAACUUUAAUUCCAUUCAAGUUUUUUAAACAUGACCAUCUCUAGUACAUCUCAAAUGAUUUAAACUCUAUUACUAUCUUUUUACCUAACUCAAUCCUUUGAACUUUAAGAAAUGUUGUACAACACAAUUCGGAUUUUUACAACAAACAUCAUAAUUUAUGUCGCCAAAGCUUGUUCAAAAAAAAUAAUCUGCUACUUAAUUUUAAAAUAAUUUAAACUCACUAAAUGCUCUACGAAGGUUUAUUUUUACCAUGUCACACAAUCCAUAAAGGAAUAUUGGCUAAAUUACAGCGAGGUUAUUAUUCCAGGAAUUUUAAUUACCAUGAAUUAAAAGAUGCGUUCAUUUUUUUUUACUAAAUCUAAGUUAAAAGAAAAAAUUUAGAACGUCGAAAGACUUUGUGUUCUGGUUUAAGAAAGUAAACCAAUAAAUAUUAAGGGUUCAUAUUAGAUGAUUUUAGAUUACUAUUCAUGCUAUGUAUUCAUUGAUUUCGGUUAACGUUUUCUUCUUCGCAA
This is a long non-coding RNA of Hylaeus volcanicus, 2338 nucleotides long. RefSeq lists it as uncharacterized. The transcript is spliced from 3 exons. NCBI's taxonomy places the organism in Eukaryota, Metazoa, Arthropoda, Insecta, Hymenoptera, Colletidae. The record is from RefSeq and is a predicted model, not a curated record.